Taeniopygia guttata (zebra finch) is the source of this 624-nucleotide long non-coding RNA. RefSeq lists it as uncharacterized. The record is from RefSeq and is a predicted model, not a curated record. Lineage: Eukaryota; Metazoa; Chordata; Aves; Passeriformes; Estrildidae.
GCUGAUGUAUGCCGGGGAGGAAAUCUGCCUUGCCGGUUAGUGCCCAUCAUUUCCCACAGUUCAGACAUAUUUGCCACUCAGAGAUACCAGGCAGCCUUUGAGCCAGAUGGCUGGCACAUCAUUCUCUGCAGCUGAGGAAGAACACGUGGUACCCUUCUCUGGAGGAAUCAUGAGAGGCACAGGGCACUGUGUUUCUCUGAGCAGGGUGACUGUGACAUUUAGCAUGAGUCUCUUGAAGAGCUACUUCACUCUUCAUCGCUGCAUUGCAGGAACAGAAAGAAGACAGGUAUGAAAAGGAGAAGUCCUGAGUAAAAGUAGAAAAAAGAAGAACGGAAUUAAGGACACAACAGAUUUCUUUACAAUACUGAAACUCCUUCUAAAAUAGCAAUUCUUGUUCAAUUUGUUCUCCUGUAAUGUCAUACUAAUAUCUAAUAUCUGUUUUAUUUAGCAGUCAAUACCUGCACAAUUUGUUUUGCUCUCUGAAAUAGAAAAAAAUGUUGUAAAUUACAUGUCUCUUUUAAAAAAUAUUUUUCCAUGAUUUCAUGUCUUGUAUAUAUCCUAGGUAAUCUUUCCUCCAUGCAUGAAACUCUCAUUUAGGAGCAUAGUAAACCUCAGAUUAAAUCG